RNAcentral lists this ribosomal RNA (493 nucleotides) under uncultured bacterium. RNAcentral describes it as "partial 16S ribosomal RNA". It matches the Rfam family "Bacterial small subunit ribosomal RNA", at positions 30 to 507 of the family's 1533-position model. The record is from RNAcentral.
AGUGAACGCUGGCGGUAGGCCUAACACAUGCAAGUCGAACGGCAGCACAGUAAGAGCUUGCUCUUACGGGUGGCGAGUGGCGGACGGGUGAGGAGUACAUCGGAAUCUACUUUUUCGUGGGGGAUAACGUAGGGAAACUUACGCUAAUACCGCAUACGACCUGCGGGUGAAAGCCGGGGAUCUUCGGACCUUGCGCGAUUGAAUGAGCCGAUGUCGGAUUAGCUAGUUGGCUGGGUAAAGGCCCACCAAGGCGACGAUCCGUAGCUGGUCUGAGAGGAUGAUCAGCCAAACUGGGACGGGGACAAGGCCCAGAACCCCAACGGAGGGCGCAAGAGGGGAAUGUGGGAAAGGGGCGGAAGGCUGAACCAGCCAAGCCGGGGGGGUGAAGAAGGGUUUCGGGUUGGAAAGCCCUGUUGUUAGAGAAGAAAAAGUGUGAGUUUAGCACCUGCAUGUUGUGACGGUACCUAAAAAGAAAGCCCCGGCUAACUACGUG